RNAcentral lists this ribosomal RNA (404 nucleotides) under bacterium Ellin7528. RNAcentral's name for it is "bacterial SSU rRNA". It matches the Rfam family "Bacterial small subunit ribosomal RNA", at positions 29 to 480 of the family's 1533-position model. The record is from RNAcentral.
AGCGAACGCUGGCGGCAGGCCUAAUACAUGCAAGUCGAGCGCACCUUCGGGUGAGCGGCGGACGGGUGAGUAACGCGUGGGAACGUGCCCUUUGGUACGGAACAACUGAGGGAAACUUCAGCUAAUACCGUAUGUGCCCUUCGGGGGAAAGAUUUAUCGCCAUUGGAGCGGCCCGCGUUGGAUUAGCUAGUUGGUAGGGUAAAAGCCUACCAAGGCUACGAUCCAUAGCUGGUCUGAGAGGAUGAUCAGCCACACUGGGACUGAGACACGGCCCAGACUCCUACGGGAGGCAGCAGUAGGGAAUCUUGCGCAAUGGGCGAAAGCCUGACGCAGCCAUGCCGCGUGAAUGAUGAAGGUCUUAGGAUUGUAAAAUUCUUUCACCGGGGAAGAUAAUGACGGUACCC